Siniperca chuatsi (mandarin fish) is the source of this 814-nucleotide long non-coding RNA. RefSeq lists it as uncharacterized. The transcript has 2 exons. The record is from RefSeq and is a predicted model, not a curated record. NCBI's taxonomy places the organism in Eukaryota, Metazoa, Chordata, Actinopteri, Centrarchiformes, Sinipercidae.
UGGUGCUGGGCAGGUAGUGUACAGUGGGUUUUUGUUUAGAAGUUUUGUGCUGAAAACAGCUGCCUGUUGCAACUGGAAACAUGGUUGAUAAGAGCGCCAAGGGGAACUGCAGAUUUGGGUGAUAAUUAUCUGUGGGUUGUUACUACAAGCGACACCUUUCAAAUUAUGUUGUCAUUUAAUCUAUUGUUAAUAUUAAAAUAUUGAUUACAGCAGUUUUAACUCAACUGAUGCAAGAGAAUCUGAGAGGGGUCUGCCUGCACGGCUCCUCUGUGGAGUCGCUUCCGGUGCAGGCUCCGCUCUCAGCUCCACUGUCAGGACAGGACUUUUUUUUUAACGUCCCCCAAAGGAUGUAACUUAAGGCAUUCUCAGUUGUUUUUGCUACACUAUGCCUUGUGACAACGGAUAGAGUGGAGCCCAGGAUUGUAAAUGACUGCAAAAAGGCAGCAGAAUGGGUUAAAGCAAACCAGCAUGUGUUUUCAGCCGAAGUGGAGUUGCCUGAUGCACUGAAGAUGGGGGGAGAAGAACUGGCAGAGGCUGCACAGCUGUAUGGACAGCUUUGGGUUGAGGAAACAAGCGAGAGCCUGGACGAACAUGAGAGGGAAUUAAUCUUGGAGCCAUUCAAGUUUGCAUUUUACAACACUGAAGAUGUGUGGAAGUGUUGUGAAGAAAUUUCAGAUAGCCAAGGAUAUUUGGCGUACCGUGAAUGCCAAAUGGACAACAACUAAUGACUUUACAAGUAGUAGCGCAUUACUAUUGUUGUGUUACGCUGUGUUUGCUGAAUAAAGGGAAACAGAUCGUUUGAUCAGUUUGUCAA